This 385-nucleotide long non-coding RNA is filed under the name Marmota monax (woodchuck). Lineage: Eukaryota; Metazoa; Chordata; Mammalia; Rodentia; Sciuridae. The record is from RNAcentral.
GAGAAAUUAAAUUAAAAUCUAGAGAAGAAAAAUUAAUGUUAAGAAGACAGAUUAGUUCUUGGUACUGGGCAACUUGUUCUUGUUCCUGUGCACAAUGGUUUGUGCUCUUACUCUUGUUUGAUUAAAAUUAAUAACAAGUCAACCACUUGCCGUAACCAUGGCACCGGUUCCAGUCAGUAAGUCAAGAAAGAAUAGUCAAGGUAUAGGCCAAUAGUUUGGGACAUUUCUAACUAUUAUUAAAAGUUAACUAAGCAGAAACAGCUCAAAGCAAAACUCGAACUGAAAGUACAAAUGCUUGCUUAUGCAUAAGCCAAGAUACAUUCUUCUAUUCUAAUUGUAGCUACGUAGUAUUUUGUUUCUUUGAAUAAUGAUUCCUGUUUUGGAA